RNAcentral lists this long non-coding RNA (242 nucleotides) under Papio anubis (olive baboon). RNAcentral describes it as "lncRNA (ENSPANG00000038415.1)". Lineage: Eukaryota; Metazoa; Chordata; Mammalia; Primates; Cercopithecidae. The record is from RNAcentral.
GGACGCCGAAGGACAGCAGAGUUGGUUGAUGGAGAGCAUCUGGUCAGCCUCCUGGCGUGCGUGGCAGGGCUGAGAAGGUGGCAAGUGAAUAUGGGGCUGGGGCUGGAAGACAUCCACGGCAGAUGACUGUAAGUGCUAUGGAGAAAAAUAAAGUAGGAAAGAGAGACAAGGAGGAAAUAGGUCUUGCUCUGUUGCCUAGACUGGAGUGCAGUGGCAGUGAUCACAGCUUAUUGCGGCCUUGA